Molecule: ribosomal RNA, 582 nt
Filed under: uncultured bacterium
Lineage: Bacteria
Description: partial 16S ribosomal RNA
Rfam family: Bacterial small subunit ribosomal RNA
Source: RNAcentral
UGGGGAAUUUUGGACAAUGGGCGAAAGCCUGAUCCAGCAAUGCCGCGUGUGUGAAGAAGGCCUUCGGGUUGUAAAGCACUUUUGUCCGGAAAGAAAUCCUUGGCUCUAAUACAGUCGGGGGAUGACGGUACCGGAAGAAUAAGCACCGGCUAACUACGUGCCAGCAGCCGCGGUAAUACGUAGGGUGCAAGCGUUAAUCGGAAUUACUGGGCGUAAAGCGUGCGCAGGCGGUUUGCUAAGACCGAUGUGAAAUCCCCGGGCUCAACCUGGGAACUGCAUUGGUGACUGGCAGGCUAGAGUAUGGCAGAGGGGGGUAGAAUUCCACGUGUAGCAGUGAAAUGCGUAGAGAUGUGGAGGAAUACCGAUGGCGAAAGGCAGCCCCCUGGGCCAAUACUGACGCUCAUGCACGAAAAGCGUGGGGAGCAAACAGGAUUAGAUACCCUGGUAGUCCACGCCCUAAAACGAUGUCAACUAGUUGUUGGGGAUUCAUUCCUUAGUAACGUAGCUAACGCGUGAAGUUGACCGCCUGGGGAGUACGGUCGCAAGAUUAAAAACUCAAAUGAAUUGACGGGGUCAUAGCUG